RNAcentral lists this ribosomal RNA (460 nucleotides) under uncultured bacterium. Its description in RNAcentral is "partial 16S ribosomal RNA". It matches the Rfam family "Bacterial small subunit ribosomal RNA", at positions 338 to 795 of the family's 1533-position model. The record is from RNAcentral.
CCUACGGGUGGCAGCAGUGAGGAAUAUUGGUCAAUGGCCGUAAGCCUGAACCAGCCAAGUCGCGUGAGGGAUGAAGGUUCUAUGGAUCGUAAACCUCUUUUAUAAGGGAGUAAAGUGCGGGUCGGGUCCCGCUUUGUAUGUACCUUAUGAAUAAGGAUCGGCUAACUCCGUGCCAGCAGCCGCGGUAAUACGGAGGAUGCGAGCGUUAUCCGGAUUUAUUGGGUUUAAAGGGUGCGGAGGCGGCCGUUUAAGUCAGCGGUGAAAGUCGGUGGCUCCACCAUAGCAUUGCCGUGGAAACUGGGAGGCUUGAGUAUGGUAGAGGCAGGCGGAAUGCGUGGUGUAGCGGUGAAAUGCUUAGAUAUCACGCAGAACCCCGAUUGCGAAGGCAGCCUACCAAGCCAUGACUGACGCUGAUGCACGAAAGCGUGGGGAUCAAACAGGAUUAGAUACCCGAGUAGUC